This 464-nucleotide ribosomal RNA is filed under the name uncultured bacterium. RNAcentral's name for it is "bacterial SSU rRNA". It matches the Rfam family "Bacterial small subunit ribosomal RNA", at positions 29 to 484 of the family's 1533-position model. The record is from RNAcentral.
AUUGAACGCUGGCGGCAUGCCUUACACAUGCAAGUCGAACGGCAGCGCGGGAGCAAUCCUGGCGGCGAGUGGCGAACGGGUGAGUAAUAUAUCGGAACGUGCCCAGUAGUGGGGGAUAGCCCGGCGAAAGCCGGAUUAAUACCGCAUGAGACCUGAGGGUGAAAGCGGGGGAUCGCAAGACCUCGCGCUACUGGAGCGGCCGAUAUCAGAUUAGCUAGUUGGUGGGGUAAAGGCCUACCAAGGCAACGAUCUGUAGUUGGUCUGAGAGGACGACCAGCCACACUGGGACUGAGACACGGCCCAGACUCCUACGGGAGGCAGCAGUGGGGAAUUUUGGACAAUGGGCGCAAGCCUGAUCCAGCAAUGCCGCGUGCAGGAAGAAGGCCUUCGGGUUGUAAACUAGCUUUGUCUAGGAGAAUACCCCUUUGGGAGUAAUAACCUCGGGGGAGUGACGGUACCUGAAG